RNAcentral lists this RNase P RNA (581 nucleotides) under Candidatus Troglogloeales bacterium. Its description in RNAcentral is "RNase P RNA component class A". It matches the Rfam family "Bacterial RNase P class A". Rfam says of the family: Ribonuclease P (RNase P) is a ubiquitous endoribonuclease, found in archaea, bacteria and eukarya as well as chloroplasts and mitochondria. Its best characterised activity is the generation of mature 5'-ends of tRNAs by cleaving the 5'-leader elements of precursor-tRNAs. Lineage: Bacteria; Pseudomonadati; Nitrospirota; Nitrospiria; Candidatus Troglogloeales. The record is from RNAcentral.
CGGAGUGGCCGGGUGAUCGCUCUUCGUUUUUAAGUCGGAACGCCGACUGCGGCGAGGGGAGGAAAGUCCGAGCUCCAUUGGGCAAGGUGGUUGCUAACGGCGACUGGGGGUAACCCUAAGGAAAGUGCCACAGAAAAUACACCGCCCCCUCACCCUUCGUAAAGGGUUAGCCCCUUUUCUACCCUCUCCCCGUGGAGAGGGUACCAUCUUAUUCCUCCCCUUCAAGGGCAACGUGCCCUGCGAGGGGAGAUUAGGUAGGGAUGGGGUGUGGGAGGUAAGGGUGAAAAGGGGAGGUAAGAGCUCACCGCUUCGGUGGCGACAUCGAAGGCAUGGUAAACCCCACCUGGAGCAAGACCAAAUAGGAUGGCAAGCGAGAGGCACCAUCUCUCUAUCCCACACCCCCUUUUGUGGGGGAGGGUUGGGGUGGGGGGUGUUUUUUUCUACGGGCGUCCCGUCCGGCGCCCUCGGGUCAGGUCGCUUAGAGAAAUGAUCAUCGCCCUGCAGUCGGCGUUCCGACCAAUCUUUUCGGUCGGAACGCCGACUGCAGGGUACAGAACUCGGCUUAUAAGCCACUCCGACCU